UCGUCAGCUCAUUUUGUAUAUGUAUGANGUUAUGAUGCGAGUUACUCUNUGUAGUAUUGCUUGCACGUACUUAUGCAUUUAUUUGCAAGGUGUUGUCGGCGUGCACUUCUCCCCUAGUAGGACGUCGCGACCCGUUGGGUGUNGGUCUACGACCCGAGUGGGAGACUUUAAUGUUUUNAU
RNAcentral lists this ribosomal RNA (180 nucleotides) under Heterospilus sp. ASDOR260-10. RNAcentral describes it as "partial 28S ribosomal RNA". Lineage: Eukaryota; Metazoa; Arthropoda; Insecta; Hymenoptera; Braconidae. The record is from RNAcentral.